GUGCCUUCGGGAACUCUGAGACAGGUGCUGCAUGGCUGUCGUCAGCUCGUGUUGUGAAAUGUUGGGUUAAGUCCCGCAACGAGCGCAACCCUUAUCCUUUGUUGCCAGCGAUUCGGUCGGGAACUCAAAGGAGACUGCCGGUGAUAAACCGGAGGAAGGUGGGGAUGACGUCAAGUCAUCAUGGCCCUUACGAGUAGGGCUACACACGUGCUACAAUGGCGUAUACAAAGAGAAGCGACCUCGCGAGAGCAAGCGGAACUCAUAAAGUACGUCGUAGUCCGGAUUGGAGUCUGCAACUCGACUCCAUGAAGUCGGAAUCGCUAGUAAUCGUAGAUCAGAAUGCUACGGUGAAUACGUUCCCGGGCCUUGUACACACCGCCCGUCACACCAUGGGAGUGGGUUGCAAAAGAAGUAGGUAGCUUAACCUUCGGGAGGGCGCUUACCACUUUGUGAUUCAUGACUGGGGUGAAGUCGUAACAAGGUAACCGUAGGGGAACCUGCGGUUGGAUCACCUCCUUA
Molecule: ribosomal RNA, 519 nt
Filed under: Providencia rettgeri
Lineage: Bacteria; Pseudomonadati; Pseudomonadota; Gammaproteobacteria; Enterobacterales; Morganellaceae
Also listed under: 8 other names
Description: bacterial SSU rRNA
Rfam family: Bacterial small subunit ribosomal RNA
Source: RNAcentral